Molecule: ribosomal RNA, 1410 nt
Filed under: uncultured bacterium
Lineage: Bacteria
Description: bacterial SSU rRNA
Rfam family: Bacterial small subunit ribosomal RNA
Source: RNAcentral
AGAGUUUGAUCCUGGCUCAGAUUGAACGCUGGCGGCAGGCCUAACACAUGCAAGUCGAGCGGAAACGAGUUAUCUGAACCUUCGGGGAACGAUAACGGCGUCGAGCGGCGGACGGGUGAGUAAUGCCUAGGAAAUUGCCCUGAUGUGGGGGAUAACCAUUGGAAACGAUGGCUAAUACCGCAUGAUGCCUACGGGCCAAAGAGGGGGACCUUCGGGCCUCUCGCGUCAGGAUAUGCCUAGGUGAGAUUAGCUAGUUGGUGAGGUAAGGGCUCACCAAGGCGACGAUCCCUAGCUGGUCUGAGAGGAUGAUCAGCCACACUGGAACUGAGACACGGUCCAGACUCCUACGGGAGGCAGCAGUGGGGAAUAUUGCACAAUGGGCGCAAGCCUGAUGCAGCCAUGCCGCGUGUGUGAAGAAGGCCUUCGGGUUGUAAAGCACUUUCAGUCGUGAGGAAGGUAGUGUAGUUAAUAGCUGCAUUAUUUGACGUUAGCGACAGAAGAAGCACCGGCUAACUCCGUGCCAGCAGCCGCGGUAAUACGGAGGGUGCGAGCGUUAAUCGGAAUUACUGGGCGUAAAGCGCAUGCAGGUGGUUUGUUAAGUCAGAUGUGAAAGCCCGGGGCUCAACCUCGGAAUAGCAUUUGAAACUGGCAGACUAGAGUACUGUAGAGGGGGGUAGAAUUUCAGGUGUAGCGGUGAAAUGCGUAGAGAUCUGAAGGAAUACCGGUGGCGAAGGCGGCCCCCUGGACAGAUACUGACACUCAGAUGCGAAAGCGUGGGGAGCAAACAGGAUUAGAUACCCUGGUAGUCCACGCCGUAAACGAUGUCUACUUGGAGGUUGUGGCCUUGAGCCGUGGCUUUCGGAGCUAACGCGUUAAGUAGACCGCCUGGGGAGUACGGUCGCAAGAUUAAAACUCAAAUGAAUUGACGGGGGCCCGCACAAGCGGUGGAGCAUGUGGUUUAAUUCGAUGCAACGCGAAGAACCUUACCUACUCUUGACAUCCAGAGAACUUUCCAGAGAUGGAUUGGUGCCUUCGGGAACUCUGAGACAGGUGCUGCAUGGCUGUCGUCAGCUCGUGUUAUGAAAUGUUGGGUUAAGUCCCGCAACGAGCGCAACCCUUAUCCUUGUUUGCCAGCGAGUAAUGUCGGGAACUCCAGGGAGACUGCCGGUGAUAAACCGGAGGAAGGUGGGGACGACGUCAAGUCAUCAUGGCCCUUACGAGUAGGGCUACACACGUGCUACAAUGGCGCAUACAGAGGGCGGCCAACUUGCGAAAGUGAGCGAAUCCCAAAAAGUGCGUCGUAGUCCGGAUUGGAGUCUGCAACUCGACUCCAUGAAGUCGGAAUCGCUAGUAAUCGUGGAUCAGAAUGCCACGGUGAAUACGUUCCCGGGCCUUGUACACACCGCCCGU